RNAcentral lists this small nuclear RNA (21 nucleotides) under Arabidopsis thaliana (thale cress). Its description in RNAcentral is "snRNA_15696". The record is from RNAcentral. Lineage: Eukaryota; Viridiplantae; Streptophyta; Magnoliopsida; Brassicales; Brassicaceae.
GCACGCGCCUAACGGCGUGCC